This 492-nucleotide ribosomal RNA is filed under the name uncultured bacterium. RNAcentral describes it as "partial 16S ribosomal RNA". It matches the Rfam family "Bacterial small subunit ribosomal RNA", at positions 29 to 507 of the family's 1533-position model. The record is from RNAcentral.
AGUGAACGCUGGCGGUAGGCCUAACACAUGCAAGUCGAACGGCAGCACCGUAAGAUCUUGCUCUUACGGGGGGCGGAUGGCGGGCGGGAGAGGAAUAUAUCGGAAUCUACUUUUUCGUGUGGGAUAACGUAGCUAAACUUACUCUAAGACCGCAUACCACCUACCGGUGAAAGCAGGGGAUCUUCUGGCCUUGCGCGAUUGGAUUAGCCGAUUUUGGAUUAGCUAGUUGGGUGGGUAAUUGCCCACCAAGGCGACGAUCCGUAGCUGGUCUGAGAGGAGGAUCAGCCACACUGGAAGUGAGACACGGUCCAGACGCCUAAGGGAGGCACCAGAGGGGAACAGUGGGCAACGGGGGGAAGCCUGACACAGCGAUACGGCGUGGGUGAAGGAGGCCUUGGGGUUGUAAAGACCUUUUGUUGGGAAAGAACAGCAGUCGGUUAAUACCAAGCUGUUGUGACGGUACCCAAAGAAGAAGCACCGGCUAACUUCGUG